GUGGAUAUAGCUCAGUGGUAAAGUGCAUGCUUAGCAUGCACAAAGUGCUGGGUUCAAUCCCCAGUACCUCCA
Transfer RNA from Camelus ferus (Wild Bactrian camel), 72 nucleotides. It matches the Rfam family "tRNA". Rfam says of the family: Transfer RNA (tRNA) molecules are approximately 80 nucleotides in length. Lineage: Eukaryota; Metazoa; Chordata; Mammalia; Artiodactyla; Camelidae. The record is from Rfam.